GACGAACGCUGGCGGCGUGCUUAACACAUGCAAGUCGAACGGAAAGGCCCUGCUUUUGUGGGGUGCUCGAGUGGCGAACGGGUGAGUAACACGUGAGUAACCUGCCCUUGACUUUGGGAUAACUUCAGGAAACUGGGGCUUAUACCGGAUAGGAGCUCCUGCUGCGUGGGGGGGGUGGGAAAGUUUCGGCGGUUGGGGAUGGACUCGCGGCUUAUCAGCUUGUUGGUGGGGUAGUGGCUUACCAAGGCUUUGACGGGUAGCCGGCCUGAGAGGGUGACCGGCCACAUUGGGACUGAGAUACGGCCCAGACUCCUACGGGAGGCAGCAGUGGGGAAUAUUGCACAAUGGGCGGAAGCCUGAUGCAGCAACGCCGCGUGCGGGAUGACGGCCUUCGGGUUGUAAACCGCUUUCGCCUGUGACGAAGCGUGAGUGACGGUAAUGGGUAAAGAAGCACCGGCUAACUACGUG
Molecule: ribosomal RNA, 468 nt
Filed under: uncultured bacterium
Lineage: Bacteria
Description: partial 16S ribosomal RNA
Rfam family: Bacterial small subunit ribosomal RNA
Source: RNAcentral